RNAcentral lists this ribosomal RNA (416 nucleotides) under Salmonella enterica subsp. enterica serovar Enteritidis. RNAcentral's name for it is "partial 23S ribosomal RNA". It matches the Rfam family "Bacterial large subunit ribosomal RNA", at positions 132 to 588 of the family's 2925-position model. Lineage: Bacteria; Pseudomonadati; Pseudomonadota; Gammaproteobacteria; Enterobacterales; Enterobacteriaceae. The record is from RNAcentral.
UGUGACUCGUCACACUAUCAUUAACUGAAUCCAUAGGUUAAUGAGGCGAACCGGGGGAACUGAAACAUCUAAGUACCCCGAGGAAAAGAAAUCAACCGAGAUUCCCCCAGUAGCGGCGAGCGAACGGGGAGGAGCCCAGAGCCUGAAUCAGCAUGUGUGUUAGUGGAAGCGUCUGGAAAGGCGCGCGAUACAGGGUGACAGCCCCGUACACAAAAGCGCAUGUGCUGUGAGCUCGAUGAGUAGGGCGGGACACGUGGUAUCCUGUCUGAAUAUGGGGGGACCAUCCUCCAAGGCUAAAUACUCCUGACUGACCGAUAGUGAACCAGUACCGUGAGGGAAAGGCGAAAAGAACCCCGGCGAGGGGAGUGAAAAAGAACCUGAAACCGUGUACGUACAAGCAGUGGGAGCACCCUUUG